AGUAGACAGUGAGACUGGAGAGGGUGUAGGAGACAGUUAGACUGGAGUGGGUGUAGGAGACAGUGAGGUUGGAGAGGAUGUAGGAGUCCGUGAGGAUGGAGAGGGUGUAGGAGACGAUGAGACUGGAGAGGGUGUAGGAGACAGUUAGACUGGAGAGGGUGUAGUAGACAGUGGGCUGGAGAGGGUGUAGGAGACAGUCAGGAUGGACAGGGUGUAGUAGACAGUGAGACUGGAGAGGGUGUAGGAGACAGUGAGGUUGGAGAGGGUGUAGGAGUCCGUGAGGAUGGAGAGGGUGUAGGAGACGGUGAGGAUGGAGAGGGUGUAGGAGACAGUGAGGUUGGAGAGGGUGUAGGAGACAGUGGGCUGGAGAGGGUGUAGGAGACAGUCAGGAUGGACAGGGUGUAGGAGACAGUGAGACUGGAGAGGGUGUAGGAGACAGUGGGCUGGAGAGGGUGUAGGAGACAGUCAGGAUGGACAGGGUGUAGUAGACAGUGAGACUGGAGAGGGUGUAGGAGACAGUUAGACUGGAGUGGGUGUAGGAGACAGUGAGGUUGGAGAGGAUGUAGGAGUCCGUGAGGAUGGAGAGGGUGUAGGAGACGGUGAGGCUGGAGAGGGUGUAGGAGACAGUGAGACUGGAGAGGGUGUAGGAGACAGUGAGACUGGAGAGGGUGUAGGAGACAGUGAGACUGGAGAGGGUGUAGGAGACAGUGAGGCUGGAGAGGGUGUCGGAGACAGUGAGUCUGGAGAGGGUGUAGAGACAGUGAGACUGGAGAGGGUGUAGGAGACAGUGAGGCUGGAGAGGGUUUAGGAGACAGUGAGACUGGAGAGGGUGUAGGAGACAGUGAGGAUGGAGAGGAUGUAGGAGUCCGUGAUGAUGGAGAGGGUGUAGGAGACGAUGAGACUGGAGAGGGUGUAGGAGACAGUUAGACUGGAGAGGGUGUAGUAGACAGUGGGCUGGAGAGGAUGUAGGAGUCCGUGAGGAUGGAGAGGGUGUAGGAGACAGUGAGGAUGGACAGGGUGUAGGAGACAGUGAGACUGGAGAGGGUGUAGGAGACAGUGAGGUUGGAGAGGGUGUAGGAGUCCGUGAGGAUGGAGAGGGUGUAGGAGACGGUGAGGAUGGACAGGGU
Molecule: long non-coding RNA, 1127 nt
Organism: Oncorhynchus tshawytscha (Chinook salmon)
Lineage: Eukaryota; Metazoa; Chordata; Actinopteri; Salmoniformes; Salmonidae
Source: Ensembl